RNAcentral lists this ribosomal RNA (496 nucleotides) under uncultured bacterium. Its description in RNAcentral is "partial 16S ribosomal RNA". It matches the Rfam family "Bacterial small subunit ribosomal RNA", at positions 28 to 507 of the family's 1533-position model. The record is from RNAcentral.
GAUGAACGCUGGCGGCGUGCCUAAUACAUGCAAGUCGAGCGAACAGAUGAGGAGCUUGCUCCUCUGACGUUAGCGGCGGACGGGUGAGUAACACGUGGAUAACCUACCUAUAAGACUGGGAUAACUUCGGGAAACCGGAGCUAAUACCGGAUAAUAUAUUGAACCGCAUGGUUCAAUAGUGAAAGACGGUUUUGCUGUCACUUAUAGAUGGAUCCGCGCCGCAUUAGCUAGUUGGUAAGGUAACGGCUUACCAAGGCAACGAUGCGUAGCCGACCUGAGAGGGUGAUCGGCCACCCUGGAACUGAGACACGGUCCAGACUCCUACGGGAGGCAGCAGUAGGGAAUCUUCCGCAAUGGGCGAAAGCCUGACGGAGCAACGCCGCGUGAGUGAUGAAGGUCUUCGGAUCGUAAAACUCUGUAUUAGGGAAGAACAAAUGUGUAAGUAACUAUGCACGUCUUGACGGUACCUAAUCAGAAAGCCACGGCUAACUACGUG